Molecule: ribosomal RNA, 255 nt
Filed under: uncultured bacterium
Lineage: Bacteria
Description: partial 16S ribosomal RNA
Rfam family: Bacterial small subunit ribosomal RNA
Source: RNAcentral
UACGAAGGGGGCUAGCGUUGCUCGGAAUCACUGGGCGUAAAGGGUGCGUAGGCGGGUCUUUAAGUCAGGGGUGAAAUCCUGGAGCUCAACUCCAGAACUGCCUUUGAUACUGAAGAUCUUGAGUUCGGGAGAGGGUGAGUGGAACUGCGAGUGUAGAGGUGAAAUUCGUAGAUAUUCGCAAGAACACCAGUGGCGAAGGCGGCUCACUGGCCCGAUACUGACGCUGAGGCACGAAAGCGUGGGGAGCAAACAGGG